RNAcentral lists this ribosomal RNA (607 nucleotides) under Macrobrachium rosenbergii (giant freshwater prawn). RNAcentral describes it as "partial small subunit ribosomal RNA". The stretch from base 217 to 607 matches the Rfam family "Microsporidia small subunit ribosomal RNA", at positions 752 to 1286 of the family's 1311-position model. The record is from RNAcentral. Lineage: Eukaryota; Metazoa; Arthropoda; Malacostraca; Decapoda; Palaemonidae.
CAGCAGCCGCGGUUAGACUGGGAGUAAAUAUGGAGGGAAAAAGGUUAUUGGUUACGGGAGCAUGUAUUUGCAAGUUUCUUUUUUUGUAGAGUUAAGAGGUGAAAUUUAUAGUUCGAUAGUAAAGUUGAAUCUUGUUGAUUUUCUUGGAGGCCAUUGAAGUUUAGGUUUAAACCAGGAUUAGAUACCCUGUUAUUCUAAACUUAAAGUUUAUUGCUUGAUUAGUAUCAGUUAUGAGCUUGAAAUUUAAAGGAUUUGGCGGUAUCCAAGUCUAGUUAGAGGAACCCGCCAUUUAAACGAUAUGCCACGAAUGAUCUUACUUUGUCUUGUCAAACAGUAUGUAUACCGCCAUUAUUAGGUGGUGUAUUAAUAUAGCCAUUAAAAUUAAUUUAUAUUAAGUAUAUUAGGUCAAGGUGCAGCCCAUGACAAAGAUAUCGGUGGGUUACAGUGUGUUAUACAUAAACGGAUGGACUCUUGAAACGGGGUCUUGAAGGUGGAUUUAAUUGUAUUUCUUUUUUAAUAUGUUAGAUUGAUCGUAGCUCUAGGAUAUGUACACAUCGCCCGUCGCUCUCAUUCUUUAAAGUGAGAUAAGUCGUAACAUAGUAGGUGU